Molecule: non-coding RNA, 342 nt
Filed under: Chattonella subsalsa
Lineage: Eukaryota; Raphidophyceae; Chattonellales; Chattonellaceae
Source: RNAcentral
AUAAUCACCCCUUUUUUAUCACUUUUCAUAUUAUUUCUUAAGAGACAAAAAAGUUGCCGAUCUGUACCUUAGAUGCGUCUAAGUAAAACUUCAACUCGCUGUUUUUCAGAAUGAAAUCACCUACUCAGUGAAGGUGGACGCAAAGCCGAUGGUGAUCACCGGUAAAGUAGACAACGUGCUGGCAGCCCAGGAGGAUGUGCUGGGGGCUUUGAGGAUGGCCCCUCAACAAUUGCAGGAGCAGGCGCUGAUUCCUCCUGUGGGAGUGGUCCCCCGGGGCACCCGCAUGAACCAGGGCGGCCCAGGGGGGCCAGGAGGCCCCAUGAUGAACCAAAGUGGUCCCGG